AUUAAACGCUGGCGGCAUGCCUUACACAUGCAAGUCGAACGGUAGCGCGGGGCAACCUGGCGACGAGUGGCGAACGGGUGAGUAAAGCAUCGGAACGUGCCCUGGAAUGGGGGAUAACGUAGCGAAAGUUACGCUAAUACCGCAUAUUCUGUGAGCAGGAAAGCAGGGGAUCGCAAGACCUUGCGUUCUGGGAGCGGCCGAUGUCGGAUUAGCUAGUUGGUGGGGUAAAGGCCUACCAAGGCGACGAUCCGUAGCGGGUCUGAGAGGAUGAUCCGCCACACUGGGACUGAGACACGGCCCAGACUCCUACGGGAGGCAGCAGUGGGGAAUUUUGGACAAUGGGCGGAAGCCUGAUCCAGCCAUGCCGCGUGAGUGAAGAAGGCCUCGG
This 388-nucleotide ribosomal RNA is filed under the name uncultured bacterium. Its description in RNAcentral is "bacterial SSU rRNA". It matches the Rfam family "Bacterial small subunit ribosomal RNA", at positions 29 to 420 of the family's 1533-position model. The record is from RNAcentral.